This is a non-coding RNA of Pelobates cultripes (western spadefoot toad), 508 nucleotides long. The record is from the annotation of a GenBank genome assembly. Lineage: Eukaryota; Metazoa; Chordata; Amphibia; Anura; Pelobatidae.
CACUUGCCCAUUUUCCUGCUUCCAACACAUGAAAUUCAGGAACUGACUGUUCCCUUGCUGCCUAAUAUUUCCCACCCCAUUGGCAUGUCCCAUUGUUAUGAUAUAAUCAAUGUUAUUCACUUCCCCUGUCAGUGGUUUUAAUGUUGUGGCUGUUCAGUGUAUAUUCAGAUACAAAAAAAAAAGUCCUGCGCUCCAACUCCCAUCACUCUGGGCGGCAGCAACGACCAAAGUACACAUCAGCCCCAAUACAUACAGUAAAAACCAAAGAAAAAAGUUACCUGGGUUCCUCCCAAAUCCCUAUGCAUAUUUAAACAAAUGGAGGUUAAUUAGUUUCUCCAAAGGCCAUGAGAGACUUUAGCCCACCUGCAGCAUCAAGGCAAACCUCUCAGGUGGGUCCUACACUAACCUUUCAUCUUGCUUCUUUGAGCUUAUUUGGUUUUUACUGUAUGUAUUGGGGCUGAUGUGUACUAUGGUCAUUGCUGCCUCCCAGGAGUCAUGGGAGUUUGAG